Molecule: long non-coding RNA, 8587 nt
Filed under: Pelobates cultripes (western spadefoot toad)
Lineage: Eukaryota; Metazoa; Chordata; Amphibia; Anura; Pelobatidae
Source: RNAcentral
UGUGUUUUAGGUUUUUUUAAUAUUGAAAUAUAAAAUUAUUUAAAAACUUUAUUAGAAAUAAAAUACAACAGUAUAAGAUACACAAUAAAUAAAAAACAGACGCAUUUCACCUUCAACAAGCCUUUCUCAAAACGUCAUGUCAUUAUCCAUGACGGGGCCCCCCCCCCCGUGGACGUCAUUCUCCAUGACGGGCCCCCCCCGUGGACGUCAUUCUUCAUGACGGGCCCCCCCGUGGACGUCAUUCUCAUGGACGGAACUUGCUAUGUAUUUUUUUUUUUUUAAAGAGAAAAGUCAGGCUCCAUUGUUUUUCUCCCAAGCAAACUAAUGUUAUAAAACAGGACCUCAUCCCCAAGACUGUAGGUUAAACUCUCGUGUUUCUUCUGCACUUUCUUCGCAUAGAUCAUCUUCUACUUUUACUGCGACAAUGCUUUCCAAUGUUACUUCAUUUAUCGUCUCCAUUGAGGAUUUCCUUUCCACCAAGAACGUAGCAUAACUAUGCUCCUCCGGUAGAGUGAUAGUUGAAAGCUUUAAAAAAAAAAUAAAAAAAAAUAUAAAUAAAUAGUAACCAUAAAUUAGGAUUGAAAUUUUGUCAAGAUAAUUGGAACUCCAGGGAAAAAGAUCAGGGUAAGCCCAGGAAUGAGAUAUAUAUAGUUAAUGCAAUGUUAAACACAAAUACACACACCAGGCAAGCCAUAUGACUUGCUUUUACCACAGAAAUCUCACUUUAACAGUGCUCUCACUACUGAAAAGGAUUCUGGGUAGGCGUAUGCAAAUGAACUCAACAAAGAACCAAAUUUUUGCCUCAAUUCCACUUUAUAAAUGGAUUCCUUGGAGUAUAUGUCUGCUAACAAUUAAUGCAAAGCCUGUAUAGCAAGCCAGUAACCUAUCUCAUGCUGAUGAGUUGAAAUAACGAAACAGCUGUCCAAGAGUGGUUCACUGGCACUGCACCUCUUCCUGAGUUGUGCUUCAAAGCUGUUGUAUGCAUCAGACACAAACUCCAAGGAAUCCAUGUGUAAGGUAGAAUUAUGAGACCCCCCAAUAUGUUAAUCUGUUUAUGGCAGAUCUUGAACAGUGAUUCCUAGAAAUACUGCACACCAAACCAUACAAAUAUUAUUGCUAUAUCGAUGAUAUCUUCAUAAUUUGGACUGAAAGCAAAGAAAAACUGAUGACUUUUAACACAUUCCAUCCAAACUAAAAAUGGAAUAUUCCACUAGAUCUGUGAAUUUUCUGGACACCACUGUGACAGCCACACCUCGUUUUACAGAAAACCCAGAGUCAGAUGCAGUUACCUUCACAGCUCCAGCGUCCACCCCUCCCAUACUAAACAGGGCAUCACCUACAGCCAAACCACUAGGUACCAUUGCAUAUGCUCUGAUCUUAAUGACCGUAAUUCCUAUCUAAAGGUACCCUUCCAAUCUAUGAGAUUGGUUUGUAGCCUAAGACUAUUACCAAACAAACCAACCCUACUGUAAAAACUCCACGCACGCACCUGCUACAGUACAGAGAGAAAAAUAAAUAUCUACACUUGUGGUCACCUACAACCCAGCUCUUUAGAAAAUAAAGUAAAUCAUCAGAGACCUACAACCAAUGUUAACAGAAGAUGAGACUAUGAAAAACAUUUUCUCUGAAACACCCAUUUUGGCCUUCAGACAACCACCAAACCGCCAACAAAAAUUAAUUAACAGGUAGCGGUUCACUGAUGGGAAGAAUAAAGAAAAUGGGACCAGUCAAUGUAAAAAACCUCGCUGCAAACUGUGUCAGCACAUAUGCACAGACAACACAGCCACACACAACAAUAAAACUUACAGCAUUAAAGGUUCAUACUCCUGCACAUCCAGCAAUGUGGUCUACAUGAUGCAAUGCACCAAAUGCCACCUAGAAUGCUACAUUGGGGAAACCACCCAGCAAUUCAAUGGCAGAAUGAAUAUGCACAUACACUAAUAAAAACUUGAAUUCCCUUUUAAAGGGCUGCCAAUCCUCUAACAUCUUACCGUUGAUGGUCUGGUGAGUCAGAGCAUUACUUCCGGUCAGACAGCCAUCUUGUUUCUCUUACCUGCUUUCCUUGUGGUCCUGGCUCCUGUUCUACGCUUACCAAACAGUUCGUAAACCCACGGCCUCCUUCCGGCUUCUCGGCACGGCUAGUGGUUCUAAACCGUAAGUCAAGAUCCUUACCGUAAGGCGGUUGCAAUCGUUACACGCCAUCGCGGUAGGGGUCGGUUCGGCACAAUUUUCGGUUGAUUUAAUAACAGCUUUAAUAUAUAUGUCUUUCAUAAUUUAAAUGCACGAACGCAGCCAUUCGUUUCUUUGUUCACUACACUGUACAUUUGUUUCAUUAAGCCAUUUUCAUACGAAUUUGUUUCAAGUUGGCUAAACAUACGAAUGAUUAGGUUUAAACAGGUAUUCUAUACAGGGCAUUCCUCCCAGUUCGGCAGUAUGUUGCUGGCAUGAGACUGUUCACAAAUUUUAGCCGAUUGGCCUGGUUGUCAGAUGCCCCUAUUGGUUAGUAAGGAUACUACAGUUACAAUUUUAUACUUAUGAGUUGGGGCUAUUUCAAUACAAUGAUAUAGACAGGUUUGAUAUAUACAUAUACAAAAAAACAAGUCCCGCGCUCAAACUCCCAUAACUCCUGGGCAACGACCAUAGUAGACAUCAGCUCAAAUACAUACAGUAAAAACCAAAGGAAAAAGUUACCUGCACCUUUUCCAAAAUCCCUAUGUAUAUUUAAACAAAUGGAGGUUUUUAGUUACCACCAAUGGCCAUGAGAGGGUAUGCCCACCUGCCACGUCAAGACCACUUAGGUGGGUCCUAACUAACGAUUUACCUUGCUUCCUUGAGCGUUUGGCAAAGAUAUCUCUAAUGAGACAAAAAGGGAUGUUUUUUAUAUAACACUUUGAACAUAAAUACUGCACUCAAUGCAUUUAUUAUGCGCACUAAGAACAAUUCAUAAAUAAGUAUGCGAAAAUUAAUUUAUUGUUCACUGACUCAGUAUAAUUAAUUGGAGGAAAAGGCUACUAAAGGCAAUUGGUGAUCCUAUCUUAAAUUCAUAUAUCAUACACAUAGAAAGAAUUCAUAAUAUAUACAGAUCCUAUUUACAACCACUAGCGAUCCCUUCAUGAAUUCAUAUAUUAUACACAAAGUACAAGUUCAUGAUAUAUACUAAUGCUAUUUACAACUAAUUACAGUCCUGACUGUAGUAAUAUAGAGGGUAUUCCCUGAUUGUAGAGGGGAUAAAUCAUUGGAGCAGUAGAGAAGAGAGUCCUCCUGUGUCUGUUCGUGAUGCAGUAAAGUCCUCCUAUUAGUUGAAUCAGCUGAUCGGCAGCAAACGAUCGUGAGAUAAGUCAGCUGAUCGGCAGCUAACGGGUUGCGCGCUCGGGAUGUCUAUGUCCCUUGGAAGGCCCCUGCAAUUUGACAGACGAGAAGGCUGAAUUUAAAUAUCCCUAAUUCCGCCUUGUCGUGGUGACGUCAGCAUGCGUCACAUGUGAUUGAAAAAACUUUAUUGUUCAUACCAUACAGGACAAUUGACAGUGAGGAACCACACUUUGUAAGGAUAACGUAGAACAUCGCACCAUUUGGUACAAGAUUUUAAAUAAGUGCUCAGUAGAUCUUAUGGUAUUAACCACUGAGUCCCUACAAAAAGAAUUGGUCAAAUUAAUUAAGUAAAUAGCAACAGUGGAACAGGAGUUGGCAGCUGUGACAGCUCAAAGUGACUUAGAAACUCUUAAAACUCAGAUUGAAGAAAAGUUGAAAGAAUACCAGAGGGAGACAGAAGAGUUCAAAAAGAAAAAAAUUUCAUAGACACGAGUUGGACUAUCAGAGAGAUCAGGUCUAUACCUGGUACUCCAGGACAGACAACAGACAGAAUAGAGACAUACAAACACAAAGAUGGCGUUCAGACACGGAAGGAGUUACAUCCUCCUCCUCUGCCUCCUCAUUAACGGGGACCACUUUUUUAAAAAUACGAAGAAUCAUCAGGAGGGGGGGUCACAACAAGAGGUACACAGGAGAGAAAGGAAGGCAAACCUCCCCUAUCCAGACCGGAUCCCGAAUACACAAUAUCUCAGGUAGGUAAUUAACUACACAAGAGGAAGAGACUCUGAACAAGGGACUCUCCUUCAUCCCUACCCCUAAUGUGGAAUGACAUCAAUACGAUAUGAGAUGUACAAUUUUUUUCUCCAAUUGAAAUUACGUGCAUUUUUUUCUACAGAUCAACAUAACCUUGGCACAGCAGCUGACCCCAAGUAAUAGGAACACUCAGUUAAUACAGACAGACCAUCAUCAAGAGGAAGAGAACAUAGAAGGUGUGGUGUCCAAUGCCUCUCAGAUUGAUCCGCAUGUGGUCCUUGAUCCGCAGGUUUGAACCCCCCUCCCCCGAAACAUUAAUGCAUCCAUAGAUAUAUUUACAAAUUUAGUGAAAAGAGAUGUCUAUAAACUUAGAAAGAAACACCAACAGACACAUAGAAGUAAUAGAGAAACUGUUAACUUCACUAAACAAGAUUGGUCUACCAUUAAUAACUUGAAGGGAGAUACAUCUAUUAUAAUUAAACCAGCGGAUAAGGGGGGUGCGCUAGUUAUUAUGGGCCUCACUUAUUACAUAAAGGAAAUUGAAACAUAAUUAAGGGAUGAUUUACAUGAAUCAUAUGGAAGAGAUGUACAUCUACCAACAUCCUCUAUUUACCAAAUGUUUAGUUUGGAAACGGUAUAUAGACAACAUGUUCGUAUGUUGGGGCGGCACUAGGGCCCAGCUACAGGAGUUCCAUGAUUCACUGAAUACACAAGAUCCCGAUAUCAAGUUUACCAUGUAUUGUGACAUGGUAACGGUCCCUUUUUUUAGAUGUCCAAGUACAAAGAGUACAUGACCGACUCCAUAGUGACCUAUACAUAAAACCUACUGACCGUAACAACUUACUGACGUAUGCCAGCUUUCAUCCGAUCCACCUUAAGAAUGGCUUACCCUAUAGCCAAUUGUUAAGGAUGAAAAGGAUUGUAUCACAAGAAGAAAAGGUAAUCUAACAGGAUUAGACUUUAUGGCACAAAAAUUUAUGGAAAGGGAUUAUCCAACACAUAGUUCUUAAUCAGGGACAAAAAGUUUAAAAUUUCACUCGUCAGGAAACUCUUUUUGGGUCGAGAACAGUCAAUAAAACAGAGAGGAUAGCCUUUGUAUCACCACAUACUUUUUGAGGGGGACUUUCAAUUACCCCCGGUAUUUCAAAACCCACUUUUUUCGUAUCAAAGGGCUCCUAGUUUUAAGGAUAUCUUAGUUUAGUCAGACAUUGGCAGCUCGAAGAAACAUACUAGGUUAUUUUCUGAACCGAAGAAAGGUAACAUAGAAACAUAGAAUGUGACGGCAGAUAAGAACCAUUCGGCCCAUCUAGUCUGCCCAAUACAUUUACAUGCCACUGCAGCAGUGUGAUCAAGGGGGAGUAUCUUGUUCACCCUCGGUCUGGUAAGAAAUUUUUCGUCAAGGAUUACUAUACGUGUAACCCUGACUUCGUCAUAUAUAUCUUAAAGUGUCCUUGUGGGUAUGUAUACGUGGGGGAGACCAUCUGGCCGGUAAAAGAGUGAAAAGGAGAGCAUAAAAGGAGUAUUAGGGCAGCCUUACAACGAGGCAUUAUUGAAUCUCUGGUGCCUAGACAUUUCAGAUCUCAUGGCCAUAGUGUGAACCAGUUAAGGUUUCAGGUCAUAGACUGAGUUCCACCCAUACGGAGGGGCGGGGACAGACAAACUUCUACUGCAAAAGGAAACCAAAUGGAUCAGUAUCCUAGAGACUGUCACCCUCUGGGCUGAACGAAGAUUAUGAUCUAAAGCACUUUUUAGAAUUUCUUUUUUCAGUUUAAUAGUACUAGCAUUGAUUAAUCUCUAUCUAUAUUUAUACCUUGGGCUCCUUACAGUGACUCCAUUAGACCAGGAAUGGCCUGAUCCUCUUUUCCGCCUACACUUUGACACACACGGGUCCGCUACCUGGCAUCUGUUACGGGUCCUUCAUGUUGAAAACCCUGGGAUAGUUUGGGUGACUACACGACGGGUAUAUGUAAUAGGGAAAGAGAUCAAGAUAGGAUCAGCGCUAGUAAUACCACUAGGAAAGUAUAUAAUAGUGUAAAGGCAGCACACCUAAAAGGGGAAAUACCCUUCUAUCCCCUGAAAUAAAUUAGAACAUAAACAAGAAAUAAAGGGCGCGCCUAUUUGUAUUUGUUGUAUUGUAUUUCUUGUUUUUUAUGUUUUUUAUAUGUAAUAGGACCUCUAGAAUUUUUUGAGCUUGUUUGCGUUUUGGCAUUUACCACUUUUUUCAUUUUAUGUUUACAGCUGGUUAUUCGACUAGCUUUUACACAAAUAUAUUUUCUCAGAUGGUUCCUUUUGAUUCUCCCUUUGAUCAUCGGCUGCAGGUGAGCAACAAGUGUUGCCUCCUCUGUUUGAGGUAUAUAUUUGCAUUUAGAUAACUGUUACCCACUAUAGUUAUGGUCUUAAUCUGUUUCUUAUACACAGCUAGAGGUAGGACCAUCUGUCCAUUUAUUCAAAUAGAUGUGUUAGUCUUUAUUAAAUAUUUAAUUUCUGCCCCUGAUAUAACUUCUGUCUUGAACUUAUUAUGUUAUAGGACUUUUGUCUCCGAGAUAUCUUUGCCAGAAGCUCAAGGAAGCAAGGUAAAUGGUUAGAGUUAAGACCCACCUACGUGGUCUGCCUUCACGUGGCAGGUGGGCAUACCCUCCCAUGGCCAUUGGAGGUAACUAAAAACAUCCAUUUGUUUAAAUAUACAGGGAGUGCAGAAUUAUUAGGCAAGUUUUAUUUUUGAGGAUUAAUUUUAUUAUUGAACAACAACCAUGUUCUCAAUGAACCCAAAAAACUCAUUAAUAUCAAAGCUGAAUAUUUUUGGAAGUAGUUUUAGUUUGUUUUUAGUUAUAGCUAUGUUAGGGGGAUAUCUGUGUGUGCAGGUGACUAUUACUGUGCAUAAUUAUUAGGCAACUUAACAAAAAACAAAUAUAUACCCAUUUCAAUUAUUUAUUAUUACCAGUGAAACCAAUAUAACAUCUCAACAUUCACAAAUAUACAUUUCUGACAUUCAAAACAAAAACAAAUCAGUGACCAAUAUAGCCACCUUUCUUUGCAAGGACACUCAAAAGCCUGCCAUCCAUGGAUUCUGUCAGUGGUUUGAUCUGUUCACCAUCAACAUUGCGUGCAGCAGCAACCACAGCCUCCCAGACACUGUUCAGAGAGGUGUACUGUUUUCCCUCCUUGUAAAUCUCACAUUUGAUGAUGGACCACAGGUUCUCAAUGGGGUUCUGAUCAGGUGAACAAGGAGGCCAUGUCAUUAGAUUUUCUUCUUUUAUACCCUUUCUUGCCAGCCACGCUGUGGAGUACUUGGACGCGUGUGAUGGAGCAUUGUCCUGCAUGAAAAUCAUGUUUUUCUUGAAGGAUGCAGACUUCUUCCUGUACAACUGCUUGAAGAAGGUGUCUUCCAGGAACUGGCAGGGCCGGCGCGUCCAUAAGGCGGCACAGGCGGCCGCCUUAGGGCGCACCGGCCCGGGGGCGCAAAUGUCCGGGUGGCCGGCAGGAGGGAAGCGCACCGCUCCCCUCUCCUGCCGGUCACUUUUUGUAGCGUGGCCGAGCGCCAACCUGCAGCAGUGCCGCGGACUGUGUGGAGGGGGCGGGGAUAUGAACGUCAUAUCCCUGCUCCCUCUGUAGCACACAGUGCGGCUGGUGAACAGCAGGGGCGGAGCUACCACCGGCCCCUUUUUGUCAGCAUGGGAGGAAGUCCUCCCAAGAAGACAAGAGCAGCAGAAGGCAGAGAGGAGGGGGGCUGGGCAGGACCAGCUCCUCCAACUCCCAACUACCUCAGGCAGCACUUUGGAUCCCAGGUAAGCCCCCCUUCUGAACCUGUUGGUCAGUGUGUCUGUGUGUAUCUAUGUCUGUCACUGUGUGUAUCUAUGUCUGUCAGUGUGUGUGUAUAUGUCUGUCAGUGUGUGUGUGUGUAUCUAUGUCUGUCAGUGUGUCUGUGUGUAUCUAUGUCUGUCACUGUGUGUAUCUAUGUCUGUCAGUGUGUGUGUAUAUGUCUGUCAGUGUGUGUGUGUGUAUGUCUGUCAGUGUGUGUGUGUGUGUGUAUGUCUGUCAGUGUGUGUGUGUAUGUAUAUGUCUCUGUCCGUGUGUCUGUGUGUAUCUAAAUGUCUGUUAGUUUGUGUGUCUGUCUGUUAGUGUGUCUUUGUGUGUCUUCUUCCCUAUCAUUGUGUAUGUGUGUCUGUAUGUCACUGUGUGUUUAUCUGUAUGUCUGUCAGUGUUUGUGUGUAUCUGUGUGUCUAUCUGAAUGUGUAUCAGUUUGUGUAUAUGUAUAUCUGCAUGUGUCAGUGUGUGUAUCUUUGUGUAUGUGUAUCACAGUGUGUGCGUGUGUGGCAGUGUAUGUGUAUAUGUGCAUAUAUCUCAGCAUUCAAACACCAACACUACACACAAAUAAACAUCUGCAUGCAAACAUCAACACUACAUACAAACACACCCCUGCAUUCAAAUGUCAACACUACAUACAAACACACCUCUGUAUCGGACACCAAAAUUAUAUAUAAACACACACCUGCGUUCAAAAACCAACACUACACAUAAAUGCAUG